RNAcentral lists this non-coding RNA (111 nucleotides) under Rufibacter sp. DG15C. RNAcentral's name for it is "SAM riboswitch aptamer (S box leader)". It matches the Rfam family "SAM riboswitch aptamer (S box leader)". From Rfam's summary of the family: The SAM riboswitch is found upstream of a number of genes which code for proteins involved in methionine or cysteine biosynthesis in Gram-positive bacteria. The SAM riboswitch acts at the level of transcription termination control. The predicted structure consists of a complex stem-loop region followed by a single stem loop terminator region. RNAcentral also lists the same sequence under 1 other name. Lineage: Bacteria; Pseudomonadati; Bacteroidota; Cytophagia; Cytophagales; Hymenobacteraceae. The record is from Rfam by way of RNAcentral.
GAUUUAUAAAGAAGAGUGGAGAGACAGGCUCUGUGAAGCUCUAGCAACCUACCUUGGUGUAAGGUGCUAAUUCCUGAACCCAACCGCAUAGUGCGCUGGGGAAUAUAAAUU